Molecule: transfer RNA, 82 nt
Filed under: Mycobacterium timonense
Lineage: Bacteria; Bacillati; Actinomycetota; Actinomycetes; Mycobacteriales; Mycobacteriaceae
Description: tRNA-Val
Source: RNAcentral
UCGAGUUGUGGCGCGCAAGGUCGGCGUGUCGGCCCCACAAGUCGACGCUGGGCCGUUGUAGCGCUCAGUCGCUGAUGUCGAA